GGACGUGUAGCACAGUGGCAGUGCGUGGGACUGCAAAUCCCGAGGUCAUGAGUUCAAUCCUCAUCGCGUCCU
Thoreauomyces humboldtii is the source of this 72-nucleotide non-coding RNA. The record is from the annotation of a GenBank genome assembly. NCBI's taxonomy places the organism in Eukaryota, Fungi, Chytridiomycota, Chytridiomycetes, Spizellomycetales, Powellomycetaceae.